RNAcentral lists this ribosomal RNA (484 nucleotides) under uncultured bacterium. RNAcentral describes it as "partial 16S ribosomal RNA". It matches the Rfam family "Bacterial small subunit ribosomal RNA", at positions 28 to 523 of the family's 1533-position model. The record is from RNAcentral.
GACGAACGCUUGCGGCGUGCUUAACACAUGCAAGUCGAACGAUGAAGCUAGAGCUUGCUCUGCUGAAUUAGUGGCGAACGCGUGAGUAAGACGUGAGUAACCUGCCCCGAACUCUGGGAUAACUGCUGGAAGCGGUAGCUAAUACUGGAUACGGCCUACGAAGGCAUCUUCUGUAGGUGGACAGAAUUUCGAUUCGGGAUGGACUCGCGGCCUAUCAGUUUGUGGGGGAGGGAAUGGCUCACCAAGGCGACGACGGGUAGCCGGCCUGAGAGGGUGACCGGCCACACUGGGACUGGGACACGGCCCAGACUCCUACGGGAGGCAGCAGUGGGGAAUAUUGCACAAUGGGCGCAAGCCUGAGGCAGCAACGCCGCGUGAGGGAUGACGGCCUUCGGGCUGUAAACCUCUUUUAGUAGGGAAGAAGCGAAAGUGACGGUACCUGCAGAAAAAGCACCGGCUAACUACGUGCCAGCCGCCGACGUAA